UUAAGUUAGAAAGGGCGCACGGUGGAUGCCUUGGCACUAGGAGCCGAUGAAGGACGGGACGAACACCGAUAUGCUUCGGGGAGCUGUAAGCAAGCUUUGAUCCGGAGAUUUCCGAAUGGGGAAACCCACCACUCGUAAUGGAGUGGUAUCCAUAUCUGAAUACAUAGGAUAUGAGAAGGCAGACCCGGGGAACUGAAACAUCUAAGUACCCGGAGGAAGAGAAAGCAAAUGCGAUUCCCUGAGUAGCGGCGAGCGAAACGGGAUCAGCCCAAACCAAGAGGCUUGCCUCUUGGGGUUGUAGGACACUCUGUACGGAGUUACAAAGGAACGAGGUAGAUGAAGAGGUCUGGAAAGGCCCGCCAUAGGAGGUAACAGCCCUGUAGUCAAAACUUCGUUCUCUCCUGAGUGGAUCCUGAGUACGGCGGAACACGUGAAAUUCCGUCGGAAUCCGGGAGGACCAUCUCCCAAGGCUAAAUACUCCCUAGUGACCGAUAGUGAACCAGUACCGUGAGGGAAAGGUGAAAAGCACCCCGGAAGGGGAGUGAAAGAGAUCCUGAAACCGUGUGCCUACAAGUAGUCAGAGCCCGUUAACGGGUGAUGGCGUGCCUUUUGUAGAAUGAACCGGCGAGUUACGAUCCCGUGCAAGGUUAAGCAGAAGAUGCGGAGCCGCAGCGAAAGCGAGUCUGAAUAGGGCGAAUUGAGUACGUGGUCGUAGACCCGAAACCAGGUGAUCUACCCAUGUCCAGGGUGAAGUUCAGGUAACACUGAAUGGAGGCCCGAACCCACGCACGUUGAAAAGUGCGGGGAUGAGGUGUGGGUAGGGGUGAAAUGCCAAUCGAACCUGGAGAUAGCUGGUUCUCUCCGAAAUAGCUUUAGGGCUAGCCUCAAGGUAAGAGUCUCGGAGGUAGAGCACUGAUUGGACUAGGGGCCCCUACCGGGUUACCGAAUUCAGUCAAACUCCGAAUGCCGAUGACUUAUCCUUGGGAGUCAGACUGCGAGUGAUAAGAUCCGUAGUCGAAAGGGAAACAGCCCAGACCGCCAGCUAAGGUCCCAAAGUAUACGUUAAGUGGAAAAGGAUGUGGAGUUGCUUAGACAACCAGGAUGUUGGCUUAGAAGCAGCCACCAUUUAAAGAGUGCGUAAUAGCUCACUGGUCGAGUGACUCUGCGCCGAAAAUGUACCGGGGCUAAACGUAUCACCGAAGCUGCGGACUGUUCUUCGAACAGUGGUAGGAGAGCGUUCUAAGGGCUGUGAAGCAAGACCGGAAGGACUUGUGGAGCGCUUAGAAGUGAGAAUGCCGGUAUGAGUAGCGAAAGAGGGGUGAGAAUCCCCUCCACCGAAUGCCUAAGGUUUCCUGAGGAAGGCUCGUCCGCUCAGGGUUAGUCGGGACCUAAGCCGAGGCCGAAAGGCGUAGGCGAUGGAUAACAGGUUGAUAUUCCUGUACCACCUCCUCACCAUUUGAGCAAUGGGGGGACGCAGGAGGAUAGGGUAAGCGCGGUAUUGGAUAUCCGCGUCCAAGCAGUUAGGCUGGGAAAUAGGCAAAUCCGUUUCCCGUGAAGGCUGAGCUGUGAUGGCGAGCGAAUUAUGUAGCGAAGUUCCUGAUUCCACACUGCCAAGAAAAGCCUCUAGCGAGGUGAGAGGUGCCCGUACCGCAAACCGACACAGGUAGGCGAGGAGAGAAUCCUAAGGUGAUCGAGAGAACUCUCGUUAAGGAACUCGGCAAAAUGACCCCGUAACUUCGGGAGAAGGGGUGCUCUGUUAGGGUGCAAGCCCGAGAGAGCCGCAGUGAAUAGGCCCAGGCGACUGUUUAGCAAAAACACAGGUCUCUGCGAAGCCGUAAGGCGAAGUAUAGGGGCUGACGCCUGCCCGGUGCUGGAAGGUUAAGAGGAGCGCUUAGCGUAAGCGAAGGUGCGAAUUGAAGCCCCAGUAAACGGCGGCCGUAACUAUAACGGUCCUAAGGUAGCGAAAUUCCUUGUCGGGUAAGUUCCGACCCGCACGAAAGGCGCAACGAUCUGGGCACUGUCUCAACGAGAGACUCGGUGAAAUUAUAGUACCUGUGAAGAUGCAGGUUACCCGCGACAGGACGGAAAGACCCCGUGGAGCUUUACUGCAGCCUGAUAUUGAAUGUUGGUACAGCUUGUACAGGAUAGAUAGGAGCCUUGGAAACCGGAGCGCCAGCUUCGGUGGAGGCAUCGGUGGGAUACUACCCUGGCUGUAUUGACCUUCUAACCCGCCGCCCUUAUCGGGCGGGGAGACAGUGUCAGGUGGGCAGUUUGACUGGGGCGGUCGCCUCCUAAAAGGUAACGGAGGCGCCCAAAGGUUCCCUCAGAAUGGUUGGAAAUCAUUCGCAGAGUGUAAAGGCACAAGGGAGCUUGACUGCGAGACCUACAAGUCGAGCAGGGACGAAAGUCGGGCUUAGUGAUCCGGUGGUUCCGCAUGGAAGGGCCAUCGCUCAACGGAUAAAAGCUACCCCGGGGAUAACAGGCUUAUCUCCCCCAAGAGUCCACAUCGACGGGGAGGUUUGGCACCUCGAUGUCGGCUCAUCGCAUCCUGGGGCUGUAGUCGGUCCCAAGGGUUGGGCUGUUCGCCCAUUAAAGCGGUACGCGAGCUGGGUUCAGAACGUCGUGAGACAGUUCGGUCCCUAUCCGUCGCGGGCGCAGGAAAUUUGAGAGGAGCUGUCCUUAGUACGAGAGGACCGGGAUGGACGCACCGCUGGUGUACCAGUUGUUCUGCCAAGGGCAUCGCUGGGUAGCUAUGUGCGGACGGGAUAAGUGCUGAAAGCAUCUAAGCAUGAAGCCCCCCUCAAGAUGAGAUUUCCCAUUCCGCAAGGAAGUAAGAUCCCUGAAAGAUGAUCAGGUUGAUAGGUCUGAGGUGGAAGUGUGGCGACACAUGGAGCUGACAGAUACUAAUCGAUCGAGGACUUAACCAA
RNAcentral lists this ribosomal RNA (2927 nucleotides) under Bacillus amyloliquefaciens XH7. RNAcentral's name for it is "bacterial LSU rRNA". It matches the Rfam family "Bacterial large subunit ribosomal RNA". Lineage: Bacteria; Bacillati; Bacillota; Bacilli; Caryophanales; Bacillaceae. The record is from RNAcentral.